RNAcentral lists this small RNA (31 nucleotides) under Bombyx mori (domestic silkworm). RNAcentral describes it as "ovarian small RNA-217". The record is from RNAcentral. Lineage: Eukaryota; Metazoa; Arthropoda; Insecta; Lepidoptera; Bombycidae.
UUUGUUCCUGUACUCGAGCUCUAGGCUCGGU